GACCGCGGUGGCCGACCUGGUCGCCGCCGGCUCCCACCCGGCGAUCCGGCACGGCCGGUCCUGACCGGCCGCCGCCA
This 77-nucleotide transfer RNA is filed under the name Streptomyces kronopolitis. RNAcentral's name for it is "tRNA-Gly". Lineage: Bacteria; Bacillati; Actinomycetota; Actinomycetes; Kitasatosporales; Streptomycetaceae. The record is from RNAcentral.